AAGCCUGAGAGGUUCCCUGUGCCCCGGUCACCUCUAUGGAAAUUUCUAUGUUCCAGAAAAAAACAGCAGAAGAUACAAAACAGACAAGAACGGAGCUGUGUUACACUUAUCAUGUCAGCUGACUCAGAGCCUUGUCAUUGCAUGAGCUGAGCGGCUGCCGACCUGACUGGGUACAAGGUGCA
Long non-coding RNA from Hyla sarda, 182 nucleotides. RefSeq lists it as uncharacterized. The record is from RefSeq and is a predicted model, not a curated record. The transcript is spliced from 3 exons. NCBI's taxonomy places the organism in Eukaryota, Metazoa, Chordata, Amphibia, Anura, Hylidae.